CGUUUGACCUCGGAUCAGGUAGGGAUACCCGCUGAACUUAAGCAUAUCAAUAAGCGGAGGAAAAGAAACCAACAGGGAUUGCCCUAGUAACGGCGAGUGAAGCGGCAACAGCUCAAAUUUGAAAUCUGGGUCUUUCAGAGUCCGAGUUGUAAUUUGCAGAGGGCGCUUUGGCUUUGGCAGCGGUCCAAGUUCCUUGGAACAGGACGUCACAGAGGUGAGAAUCCCGUACGUGGUCGCUAGCUAUUGCCGUGUAAAGCCCCUUCGACGAGUCGAGUUGUUUGGGAAUGCAGCUCUAAAUGGGAGGUAAAUUUCUUCUAAAGCUAAAUAUUGGCCAGAGACCGAUAGCGCACAAGUAGAGUGAUCGAAAGAUGAAAAGCACUUUGGAAAGAGAGUCAAACAGCACGUGAAAUUGUUGAAAGGGAAGCGCUUGCAGCCAGACUUGCUUGCAGUUGCUCAUCCGGGCUUUUGCCCGGUGCACUCUUCUGCAGGCAGGCCAGCAUCAGUUUGGGCGGUGGGAUAAAGGUCUCUGUCACGUACCUUCCUUCGGGUUGGCCUUAUAGGGGAGAC
Molecule: ribosomal RNA, 567 nt
Filed under: uncultured Basidiomycota
Lineage: Eukaryota; Fungi; Basidiomycota
Description: eukaryotic LSU rRNA
Rfam family: Eukaryotic large subunit ribosomal RNA
Source: RNAcentral